GGGUUCCUAGGGGCGCAGCAGUGGGGAAUAUUGCACAAUGGGGGAAACCCUGAUGCAGCAACGCCGCGUGAAGGAAGACGGUUUUCGGAUUGUAAACUUCUUUUCUUAGUGAAGAAGCAAGUGACGGUAGCUAAGGAAUAAGCAUCGGCUAACUACGUGCCAGCAGCCGCGGUAAUACGUAGGGUGCGAGCGUUAUCCGGAAUUACUGGGUGUAAAGGGAGCGCAGGCGGGACUGCAAGUUGGAUGUGAAAUACCGCAGCUUAACUGCGGAGCUGCAUCCAAAACUGUAGUUCUUGAGUGGGGUG
RNAcentral lists this ribosomal RNA (305 nucleotides) under uncultured bacterium. RNAcentral's name for it is "bacterial SSU rRNA". It matches the Rfam family "Bacterial small subunit ribosomal RNA", at positions 334 to 653 of the family's 1533-position model. The record is from RNAcentral.